RNAcentral lists this ribosomal RNA (433 nucleotides) under uncultured bacterium. RNAcentral describes it as "partial 16S ribosomal RNA". It matches the Rfam family "Bacterial small subunit ribosomal RNA", at positions 29 to 507 of the family's 1533-position model. The record is from RNAcentral.
AACGAACGCUGGCGGCAUGCCUAACACAUGCCAGUCGAACGAGACCUUCGGGUCUAGUGGCGCACGGGUGCGUAACGCGUGGGAACCUGCCCUUAGGUUCGGAAUAACUCCCCGAAAGGGGUGCUAAUACCGGAUAAUGUCUUCGGACCAAAGAUUUAUCGCCUUUGGAUGGGCCCGCGUUGGAUUAGCUAGUUGGUAGGGUAAAAGCCUACCAAGGCUACGAUCCAUAGCUGGUCUGAGAGGAUGAUCAGCCACACUGGGGGUGAGACACGGCCCAGACUCCUACGGGAGGGAGCAGUGGGGGAUAUUGGAAAAUGGGCGAAAGCCUGAUCCAGCAAUGCCGCGUGAGUGAUGAAGGCCUGAGGGUUGUAAAGCUCUUUUACCCGGGAUGAUAAUGACAGUACCGGGAGAAUAAGCUCCGGCUAACUCCGUG